Molecule: long non-coding RNA, 1146 nt
Filed under: Homo sapiens (human)
Lineage: Eukaryota; Metazoa; Chordata; Mammalia; Primates; Hominidae
Description: cancer susceptibility 19
Source: RNAcentral
CCUGUACAUUGGGAAAGGUGCCGAGACAUGAACUUUGGUCUUCUCUGCAAUCCAUCUGGAGCAUUCACUGACAACAUCGACUUUGAAGUUGCACUGACCUGGCCAGCCCUGCCACUUACCAGGUUGGGCUGUGGCUUGCCUUUUCACUUCUUGUGUCCUGUUUAAGAAAUAUCUGCUAUCCCAAGAUUGCAAACUCCUAGAGAAGGGCUCAACAGUGAGUGCUGAGGCUGCACAGAGGAGGAAGGCAGCACAAUGAUGGAAGGCUUCCUAAAGAGGCUCUUGAGUUUCUGCUUUCAAGUGACCCUCAGAAAUUCCUCCAUUCACUGCAGAGGUUCUGUUUCUCCUUGCUUUGUUCUGACUUUACGGCAGAACUAAGCUAAUGAGUUAGUUACUAUGGGUUAUCACUUGGAUUUGAAGAACCAUCAUUUCUAGGCAUUGCUGCUCAGAGUGGGUCUGCCCUCAGGGGAAGCUGUCUAACCAGAGCCUAACCCACUAGGGUUUUAUCAGAACCUAACUGACCUGAGGAAAAGAAAUACUCAACUCCAGCAAGCUCCAGCCUUCCAAAUGGAGGAGGAGAAAACCCAACUCCAGCCCACUUCAGCUAUCUUGUCCCACAUAAAGGGGAAGUGGAAGAAACCUGAGAAGCAGGCAUGAAGUUCACAGUCCAGAGGUACAGACACAUCAGAGUUCAGUAUCUGAUGAAUUAGAUGCAAAAACCUCAACAAAGUAUUAGCAAAUUGAAUUCAACAAUGUAUGAAAAUUAUUACAUGCCAUGACUAAUUGGAAUUUAUCUCAGGUAUACAAGCCACGCUGAACAUCUGAAAAUCAAUUCAUGUGAUCCAUCACAUUAGCAGACUCAAGAAAAAAAACCACAUUAUCAUAUCAGUAGAUGUAGAAAAAAAAAAUUAACAAAAUCCAGCACCCAUUCACAAUGAAAAUGCCCAGUAAAUUAGAAAUAGAAGGUAACUUCCUCAAAUUGAUAAGGAAUAUCUCUAAAAACCUACAACUAAAAUCAUACUUAAUGGUAGAAAACUAGAAGCCUUCCCAGUAAGAGUAAGAACAAGUCAAAGAUGUAUGCUCUCACCAAUGCUUUUCAACAUCAUAUUGGAAGUCCUAGCUAGUGCAAUAAGCAAAAAAAAAAAAAAA